RNAcentral lists this transfer RNA (72 nucleotides) under human gut metagenome. It matches the Rfam family "tRNA". Rfam says of the family: Transfer RNA (tRNA) molecules are approximately 80 nucleotides in length. Their secondary structure includes four short double-helical elements and three loops (D, anti-codon, and T loops). Further hydrogen bonds mediate the characteristic L-shaped molecular structure. tRNAs have two regions of fundamental functional importance: the anti-codon, which is responsible for specific mRNA codon recognition, and the 3' end, to which the tRNAs corresponding amino acid is attached (by aminoacyl-tRNA synthetases). tRNAs cope with the degeneracy of the genetic code in two manners: having more than one tRNA (with a specific anti-codon) for a particular amino acid; and 'wobble' base-pairing, i.e. permitting non-standard base-pairing at the 3rd anti-codon position. RNAcentral also lists the same sequence under 2 other names. The record is from RNAcentral.
GAGGCUUAGCUCAGCUGGUUAGAGCGCAUGCUUCACACGCAUGAGGUCACAGGUUCGAGUCCCGUAGUCUCC